UACAGAGGUCUCAAGCGUUGUUCGGAUUCAUUGGGCGUAAAGGGUGCGUAGGUGGCGCGGUAAGACAGGUGUGAAAGCCCCGAGCUUAACUUGGGAAUUGCGCUUGUGACUGGCGUGCUCGAACGUGGGAGAGGAAAGCGGAAUUCCUGGUGUAGCGGUGAAAUGCGUAGAUAUCAGGAGGAACACCUGCGGUGUAGACGGCUUUCUGGACCAUUGUUGACGCUGAGACACGAAAGCGUGGGUAGCAAACAGG
RNAcentral lists this ribosomal RNA (253 nucleotides) under uncultured bacterium. RNAcentral's name for it is "partial 16S ribosomal RNA". It matches the Rfam family "Bacterial small subunit ribosomal RNA", at positions 524 to 776 of the family's 1533-position model. The record is from RNAcentral.